AGAGGGAGAUGAGAGAGUCAGGGAGAGAGAUUUGAAGGUGCUACACUGCUGAUUUUGAAGAUGGAGGAAGAGGUCAUGAGCCAAGAUACACAGGCUGCCUGUAGAAGGUCAAGAAGACAAGUAAAUGAUUGUUUGCAAGAGCCUGUAGAAGGAAAGCAGUUGGGCCAACACCUUGAUUUCAACCCAGUGCAACCUGUUUUGGAUUUCUGCUCUUCCGAACAGUAAGAUGAUAGAUGGUUUUGUGUACAUUACCUUUGUUCGACUUAGAGGCGUGCAGGGUCAACGGAUGCUCACCUUUACAACAUAUACUCUAACCAGGAGCUUGAUGGGCCGGUUCUGUGGGAUUCCCCGGGAGAUCUGGGGCUCAGAGAAGGACACUGCCUCUGAUUCUGGGGAGGUGUUGUAAAUCUGAAAGGCAAGGGCCUCAGUGACAGCCUGAUGUCUCAGAAUGGGAGCAAAAUUCCCUCUCCCAAGACCCAGUUACCUUGAGAGUGGGGCCACAGAUCUGAUCCCUAGUCCGGGAAGAUCCCACGUGCCGUGGAGCAACUAAGCCCGUGCACCACAACCACUGAGCCUGCGCUCUAGAGCCUGCAAGUCACAACUACUGAGCCCCCACACUGCAACUACUGAAGUCCAUGUGCCUAGAGCCCGUGCUCCACAAGAGGAGCCACCAGGAUGAGAAGCCCGUGCUCCACAAGAGAAGCCACCAGGAUGAGAAGCCCGUGCUCCACGAGAGAAGCCACCAGGAUGAGAAGCCCGUGCUCCACGAGAAAGAGGAGCCCCCAGAAACUAGAGAAAGCCUUGCACACAGCAACG
This is a long non-coding RNA of Bos taurus (domestic cattle), 816 nucleotides long. The record is from Ensembl. NCBI's taxonomy places the organism in Eukaryota, Metazoa, Chordata, Mammalia, Artiodactyla, Bovidae.